AGUGUAACGGAGGAGUACGAAGGUACGCUAGGUACGGUCGGAAAUCGUGCUGAUAGUGCAAUGGCAUAAGCGUGCUUAACUGCGAGACCGACAAGUCGAGCAGGUGCGAAAGCAGGUCAUAGUGAUCCGGUGGUUCUGUAUGGAAGGGCCAUCGCUCAACGGAUAAAAGGUACUCUGGGGAUAACAGGCUGAUACCGCCCAAGAGUUCAUAUCGACGGCGGUGUUUGGCACCUCGAUGUCGGCUCAUCUCAUCCUGGGGCUGUAGCCGGUCCCAAGGGUAUGGCUGUUCGCCAUUUAAAGAGGUACGUGAGCUGGGUUUAAAACGUCGUGAGACAGUUUGGUCCCUAUCUGCCGUGGGCGCUGGAUAUUUGAAGGGGGCUGCUCCUAGUACGAGAGGACCGGAGUGGACGAACCUCUGGUGUACCGGUUGUCACGCCAGUGGCAUCGCCGGGUAGCUAUGUUCGGAAGAGAUAACCGCUGAAAGCAUCUAAGCGGGAAACUCGCCUUAAGAUGAGAUAUCCCCGGGGCUUUAAGCCCCUUGAAGGGUCGUUCAAGACCAGGACGUUGAUAGGUCAGGUGUGUAAGCGCAGUAAUGCGUUGAGCUAACUGAUACUAAUUGCCCGUAAGGCUUGAUCCUAUAACCAGUGUGUUUC
RNAcentral lists this ribosomal RNA (653 nucleotides) under Mesorhizobium sp. Its description in RNAcentral is "partial 23S ribosomal RNA". It matches the Rfam family "Bacterial large subunit ribosomal RNA", at positions 2294 to 2925 of the family's 2925-position model. The record is from RNAcentral. Lineage: Bacteria; Pseudomonadati; Pseudomonadota; Alphaproteobacteria; Hyphomicrobiales; Phyllobacteriaceae.